GACGAACGCUGGCGGCGUGCUUAACACAUGCAAGUCGAACGGAAAGGCCCUGCUUUUGUGGGGUGCUCGAGUGGCGAACGGGUGAGUAACACGUGAGUAACCUGCCCUUGACUUUGGGAUAACUUCAGGAAACUGGGGCUAAUACCGGAUAGGAGCUCCUGCUGCAUGGUGGGGGCUGGAAAGUUUCGGCGGUUGGGGAUGGACUCGCGGCUUAUCAGCUUGUUGGUGGGGUAGUGGCUUACCAAGGCUUUGACGGGUAGCCGGCCUGAGAGGGUGACCGGCCACAUUGGGACUGAGAUACGGCCCAGACUCCUACGGGAGGCAGCAGUGGGGAAUAUUGCACAAUGGGCGGAAGCCUGAUGCAGCAACGCCGCGUGCGGGAUGACGGCCUUCGGGUUGUAAACCGCUUUCGCCUGUGACGAAGCGUGAGUGACGGUAAUGGGUAAAGAAGCACCGGCUAACUACG
This 466-nucleotide ribosomal RNA is filed under the name uncultured bacterium. Its description in RNAcentral is "partial 16S ribosomal RNA". It matches the Rfam family "Bacterial small subunit ribosomal RNA", at positions 28 to 505 of the family's 1533-position model. The record is from RNAcentral.